Molecule: ribosomal RNA, 284 nt
Filed under: uncultured Pseudomonas sp.
Lineage: Bacteria; Pseudomonadati; Pseudomonadota; Gammaproteobacteria; Pseudomonadales; Pseudomonadaceae
Description: partial 16S ribosomal RNA
Rfam family: Bacterial small subunit ribosomal RNA
Source: RNAcentral
CGACCCUUGUCCUUAGUUACCAGCACGUUAUGGUGGGCACUCUAAGGAGACUGCCGGUGACAAACCGGAGGAAGGUGGGGAUGACGUCAAGUCAUCAUGGCCCUUACGGCCUGGGCUACACACGUGCUACAAUGGUCGGUACAAAGGGUUGCCAAGCCGCGAGGUGGAGCUAAUCCCAUAAAACCGAUCGUAGUCCGGAUCGCAGUCUGCAACUCGACUGCGUGAAGUCGGAAUCGCUAGUAAUCGUGAAUCAGAAUGUCACGGUGAAUACGUUCCCGGGCCUU